Molecule: transfer RNA, 72 nt
Filed under: Ovis aries (sheep)
Lineage: Eukaryota; Metazoa; Chordata; Mammalia; Artiodactyla; Bovidae
Rfam family: tRNA
About the family: Transfer RNA (tRNA) molecules are approximately 80 nucleotides in length.
Source: Rfam by way of RNAcentral
UCCUGGGUGGUUUAGAUGGUAAAGAAUCUGUCUGCAAUAUAGGAGACCCUGGUUUAAUCCCUGGGUCAGGAA